UACGUAGGGGGCAAGCGUUAUCCGGAUUUACUGGGUGUAAAGGGGGCGCAGACGGCGAUGCAAGCCAGGAGUGAAAGCCCGGGGCCCAACCCCGGGACUGCUCUUGGAACUGCGUGGCGGGAGUGCAGGAGGGGCAGGCGGAAUUCCUGGUGUAGCGGUGAAAUGCGUAGAUAUCAGGAGGAACACCGGUGGCGAAGGCGGCCUGCUGGACUGCAACUGACGUUGAGGCCCGAAAGCGUGGGGAGCAAACAGG
This 253-nucleotide ribosomal RNA is filed under the name uncultured bacterium. RNAcentral's name for it is "partial 16S ribosomal RNA". It matches the Rfam family "Bacterial small subunit ribosomal RNA", at positions 524 to 776 of the family's 1533-position model. The record is from RNAcentral.